AUUUAGCGUGCGUGCGAACCACCUUUUCAGUAAAUACAUAAUGUUCACAUCAAACUCGGUAACGAAGACAUUUUAGAAUGCAUGCACUCUAAUUAAAAUCUUUUAAUUUGUUUCCUCGGUUUUCGUACAUUUUUUAUUAUUCGGCGGCCGCACAAGGCGUCGCUUGCGGCGCCGGUCGGCCGCUUACGCCCAUUCUUUCCUCCGUUGGCUCCUCGCAUUUUUCCACGACGUCGAAAUAAAUUUCUUAAAAUUUAUUUAAGCGUAUAAUUAAAUUACCGCACUAUUUCUCUUCGCCAAUAUAUAUUCAUUUCGGACUUAGGAUAGAAAUCCUCGUUCUUUGAAUAAGAAAUUAAUUUAAUAAUUUCCCAAAAUUAAAUUAUUGGCCCAAGAUUAAUUAUUUUCUUAGUCCAUCUUAUUUCUCCAAUUAAAUUUUAAAGCCCCAAAAAAAACUCAACAACACUUCAAAUUUUAAAUUGAGAGGCCCAACUCUUUUAAAACAAACCAUUGGCCAAUUUUUUUAAAAAGAAAGCCCAGUUUUUUUUUUAACUCCCAUACGCCCCCACGUCUCUCUCCCUUCACCUCAUUCCAUUUUCUCCCAAACUCAAAGAAUCCCCAAAUUGCAGAGCCCUACACCCGCCGCUUAUAAUCAAUUGGCUCGCCUGGCCAUCGUCGGCCGUAAUCGCUGUAGGAGAGGAGACGACACAGCCGUCGCUGCUGUCCCUCGCCAGCCACCGCUCGCCGAGAAGCGCCGACGCUGCUGUCACGGGGCAGUCGGCGUAGUCGACGCUGCUGCUGUUCCCCAACAGUCGCCGGGUCAGCCUUCACCAGCUCCGCUGCUGCUGUCUCCCCGGCAGAAAUCGCCGCUGCAGCGAGAGGGUGGUCGCCAUUUAGCCGCUGCUGCUGUCCACCUUUCAUUGAUGCUCAGUUAUCUCUCGGACAGCCUCGAAAUGGCCCCGAACAGCCCCGAAACGGCCCCGAACAGUCCCGAUAAGAUAAGUUCUUUACAUUUCGUUACAUUCUUUCGCAUUUCAUUUAAUUACCGGGGAAGGGGUGUUGGAUUGUUUGAGAAUGAUUGAUUUGUUUGAUCGGUGUUACUUGUGUGGGAGAUUGAUGUGUUGAUGAUAUGCUAUGUAUAACAAAGAUCACAAGGGAAGGGAUUUAUCCCUUCUAUGCUAAGAACUUGACCGUGAGGUUUGUAGGCUGAAAAGGGAGACUCCUUGAACUUGGCAGAUUAAAUUUCACGUCUGGAAUUGAAUUGAGAAUUUGGCAGCUCUUCAAAUUCUCGCUUUCUGUCGUGAAUCCGUGACUUGUAGUGAAUUAAAGAUGGAAGAUGAAGAAGUUUGAAAUUGGAGAGUCUCCAUAGAAGGGGUAUCGGCCAAGAGGGAGAAGGAAGAAGAAAGGAUUUUGGGCUUGCUCCCAUUUUUGGAAAAGAAUUGGACUCCUACACUUUAAUUAAAUUGUUUUGGGCUCAUUUGGUUGUAAGGCCCAAAUUUGUAUCAUUCUUUAUUUGUUAGAUUUUUUUAUUAUUAUGGCCCAAAGCCAUUUUUAUAUAAACAUUUGGACUUCAAAUUUUAUUAAUUAUUUCACGACAUAUAUUUAAAUUAGUACUUAAAAAGUACGGGGUGUUACAGGUA
This is a long non-coding RNA of Salvia splendens (bonfire salvia), 1634 nucleotides long. RefSeq lists it as uncharacterized. Lineage: Eukaryota; Viridiplantae; Streptophyta; Magnoliopsida; Lamiales; Lamiaceae. The record is from RefSeq and is a predicted model, not a curated record. The transcript has 2 exons.